GUCAGAAUCAGCUUUCGUUUCACCCUCAGUCGAACUUGGACAGGAAUUAAUUUUGUGAUCAAAAUGACAGCUGAGGUUAAUACACAUCGGACGUACCUAUACGUUCCCAGGGUGUCAGUUCACCCUGCUGAUGAUGAGGUUGAAAAGAUGGAGAAUGGACAAAACAGGAACCAAGCCAUUGCUUCUGAUUUGGAGAUGUCCAACAUAAACAAC
Molecule: long non-coding RNA, 213 nt
Organism: Hypanus sabinus (Atlantic stingray)
Lineage: Eukaryota; Metazoa; Chordata; Chondrichthyes; Myliobatiformes; Dasyatidae
Exons: 3
Source: RefSeq, a predicted model, not a curated record